Molecule: ribosomal RNA, 325 nt
Filed under: uncultured eukaryote
Lineage: Eukaryota
Description: partial 18S ribosomal RNA
Rfam family: Eukaryotic small subunit ribosomal RNA
Source: RNAcentral
CCCUUAGAUGUUCUGGGCCGCACGCGCGCUACACUGAUGCAUUCAACGAGCCUAUCCUUGACCGACAGGUCCGGGUAAUCUUUGAAUCUGCAUCGUGACGGGGAUAGAUUAUUGCAAUUAUUAAUCUUCAACGAGGAAUUCCUAGUAAGCGCAAGUCAACAGCUUGCGUUGAUUACGUCCCUGCCCUUUGUACACACCGCCCGUCGCUACUACUGACUGGAUGUUUAAGCGAGGUUCUCGAACUGCUAGCGACUUAGCUUCGGCGAGGUCGCAGUGUGGGAAGUGAACCUAGCUUUGGUGUCUAGAGGAAGUAAAAGUCGUAACA